AGAGUUUGAUCCUGGCUCAGGAUGAACGCUGGCGGCGUGCUUAACACAUGCAAGUCGAACGAACCUUCGGGUUAGUGGCGGACGGGUGAGUAACGCGUGGGAAUCUGCCCUCAGGAGGGGGAUAACGGACCGGAAACGGCCGCUAAUACCCCAUAUGCCGAGAGGUGAAAUGAAUUUCGCCUGAGGAUGAGCCCGCGUCUGAUUAGCUAGUUGGUGGGGUAAUGGCCCACCAAGGCGACGAUCAGUAGCUGGUCUGAGAGGAUGAUCAGCCACACUGGGACUGAGACACGGCCCAGACUCCUACGGGAGGCAGCAGUGGGGAAUUUUCCGCAAUGGGCGAAAGCCUGACGGAGCAACGCCGCGUGAGGGAUGAAGGCCUCUGGGCUGUAAACCUCUUUUCUCAAGGAAGAAGACAUGACGGUACUUGAGGAAUAAGCCAC
This 440-nucleotide ribosomal RNA is filed under the name uncultured freshwater bacterium. RNAcentral's name for it is "bacterial SSU rRNA". It matches the Rfam family "Bacterial small subunit ribosomal RNA", at positions 8 to 494 of the family's 1533-position model. The record is from RNAcentral.